AAAGCUCUUGGGAAACAAUGUU
Molecule: microRNA, 22 nt
Filed under: Parasteatoda tepidariorum (common house spider)
Lineage: Eukaryota; Metazoa; Arthropoda; Arachnida; Araneae; Theridiidae
Description: pte-miR-11951b-5p
Source: miRBase by way of RNAcentral